RNAcentral lists this ribosomal RNA (253 nucleotides) under uncultured bacterium. RNAcentral's name for it is "partial 16S ribosomal RNA". It matches the Rfam family "Bacterial small subunit ribosomal RNA", at positions 524 to 776 of the family's 1533-position model. The record is from RNAcentral.
UACGGUGGGGGCAAGCGUUGUUCGGAAUUACUGGGCGUAAAGGGCUCGUAGGUGGCCAACUAGGUCACACGUGAAAUCCCUCGGCUUAACCGGGGAACUGCGUGUGAUACUGGAUGGCUUGAGUUUGGGAGAGGGAUGCGGAAUUCCAGGUGUAGCGGUGAAAUGCGUAGAUAUCUGGAGGAACACCGGUGGCGAAGGCGGCAUCCUGGACCAAUACUGACGCUGAGGAGCGAAAGCCAGGGGAGCAAACGGG